UCGAACUCUAGUGUUGCAAAGUUGUAUUGAUAUUAUCGUCUCUUACAUAAAGUUAUCUGAUUAAGUAAAAAAUUAAUAAAUUCUCUACAGAUAUUUUUAGUGUUUAAUAUAGCACACAAUGUCAAUAAAGGUGGCGUAUUUCUGGAUAAUAUUUUCAUGUGUAAUUUUCGAAAUAAUGCUUCGAUGUUCAACAUUCAAUAUCUAUUACGAUGGAAAAGUCAAACUCGUUGGUAUUUUUGAGAGGAUAAUUUGGAAAAUUUACAUUAGUUUCCAAAUGCGUAGUGAAAAACAUUUAUUAGUCUUUAAGGUUAGUAACAUGUGUAUGUGUGCUAAGGUUUUUGACACUACGAACCUCCCCGGGAACCGCGUUGCGUGAUUGAUUGUAGCCAACGCGCAAUGGCAAAGUUAUUUUUAUAUAACUAUAAUAUACUUAUAAGUUAUAACCGUAGAUACUUUAAAUUUCUACUGCAUGUUAACACUACUAUUUUCUAAAUAUUAUUUCUUUUUGAGCUAUUUAUAAGCAUAUUAAGAAUAUUUACAUUUUAUUUCUUUUUUUAAAAAUAUCAUCGAUA
Metopolophium dirhodum (rose-grain aphid) is the source of this 572-nucleotide long non-coding RNA. RefSeq lists it as uncharacterized. Lineage: Eukaryota; Metazoa; Arthropoda; Insecta; Hemiptera; Aphididae. The record is from RefSeq and is a predicted model, not a curated record. The transcript is spliced from 3 exons.